GGAGAGUUGUCCGAGUGGUCGAAGGUGCAGCACUCGAAAUGCUGUGUCCCCAAAAGGGACCCAGGGUUCGAAUCCCUGACUCUCCGCCA
Molecule: transfer RNA, 89 nt
Filed under: Clostridium facile
Lineage: Bacteria; Bacillati; Bacillota; Clostridia; Eubacteriales; Clostridiaceae
Description: tRNA-Ser
Rfam family: tRNA
About the family: Transfer RNA (tRNA) molecules are approximately 80 nucleotides in length.
Source: RNAcentral